UUAAAUUGAAGAGUUUGAUCAUGGCUCAGAUUGAACGCUGGCGGCAGGCCUAACACAUGCAAGUCGAACGGUAACAGGAAGCAGCUUGCUGCUUUGCUGACGAGUGGCGGACGGGUGAGUAAUGUCUGGGAAACUGCCUGAUGGAGGGGGAUAACUACUGGAAACGGUGGCUAAUACCGCAUAACGUCGCAAGACCAAAGAGGGGGACCUUCGGGCCUCUUGCCAU
This 226-nucleotide ribosomal RNA is filed under the name Salmonella enterica subsp. enterica serovar Infantis. RNAcentral describes it as "partial 16S ribosomal RNA". It matches the Rfam family "Bacterial small subunit ribosomal RNA", at positions 1 to 221 of the family's 1533-position model. Lineage: Bacteria; Pseudomonadati; Pseudomonadota; Gammaproteobacteria; Enterobacterales; Enterobacteriaceae. The record is from RNAcentral. RNAcentral also lists the same sequence under 1 other name.